Molecule: non-coding RNA, 71 nt
Organism: Acanthoscelides obtectus
Lineage: Eukaryota; Metazoa; Arthropoda; Insecta; Coleoptera; Chrysomelidae
Source: the annotation of a GenBank genome assembly
GGUGUUGUAGACUUUGGUUAAGUCGCCUCCGUGGAAUGGAGGAGAUGUGGGUUCGAAUCCCGCCGGUGUCG